This 33-nucleotide ribosomal RNA is filed under the name uncultured Thelephoraceae. RNAcentral describes it as "partial 28S ribosomal RNA". The record is from RNAcentral. Lineage: Eukaryota; Fungi; Basidiomycota; Agaricomycetes; Thelephorales; Thelephoraceae.
AUCUCAAAUCAGGUAGGACACCCCGCUGAACUU